AAGAUAAUAAGCCAAGUUUUCUACAAAUUCUUAGCUUAUCUAGUAUCUGAUAUUAUUCGAUCUCUGAUGCAAAUGGUUUUGGUGACAGGUCUUUGAUGGUCAUGGUGGGAAGGGAGCAGCACUCUUUGUACAUGACUACUGAUCAAGAAUCAUAGUUCAGAUGUGUUAAUGAAAGCCAAGAAGAGGUAUGCGUUCUAUUAAUUUGGGCUCGUCUUUUUUUUCUUGCUCAUCUUUGAUCAUGAAUUUUUAAUUCAGCUAUGAAGAUAUUCCACCAUUCCUUACACACUGUUACGUCUUUAUAAUAUUAUUAGCUCACAUCAAAAUGAUUUUGGAAUCAAAAGGAACAGAUUUUGAACAAAAAUCACUGAAUUUUGAAUGGCCACGAACUUGAUCUUCUAUAACUUGUGUACACUUGGUCAUGGUUGGAGUGUUGAUUAUCUUCAUGAAAAUUUGAUUGCUUCUCAUCAUUGUAUGACUUAACGUUAUUUGCUAUGGAACUUUUCUCAUCUGUACGGACUCAUCAGCAGCAAAUGUAAUCUUGUUUAAACUUUUCUUGUCAGUAAAUGAAAUACAAGAUCAAUUGCACGUGCCAAUAAAUGGAUCCAUUCCUAGCAGAGCAUAGAUAAACCAGUAAGAGCAGGAUACGAUAACGGCAAAUGACAGGAAAAAUGGCAUGUACUCCACAUUCUUUGUCCUGAUUACUAGUCUAAUGAUAGACAGAGGAGAUAUAUAACGAUGGAGAAGAUGGUGGAAG
This 754-nucleotide long non-coding RNA is filed under the name Capsicum annuum. RNAcentral describes it as "long non-coding RNA (CANN_LNC004286)". Lineage: Eukaryota; Viridiplantae; Streptophyta; Magnoliopsida; Solanales; Solanaceae. The record is from RNAcentral.